Molecule: ribosomal RNA, 706 nt
Filed under: uncultured Bacilli bacterium
Lineage: Bacteria; Bacillati; Bacillota; Bacilli
Description: bacterial SSU rRNA
Rfam family: Bacterial small subunit ribosomal RNA
Source: RNAcentral
UUCUUUCCUCCCGAGUGCUUGCACUCAAUUGGAAAGAGGAGUGGCGGACGGGUGAGUAACACGUGGGUAACCUACCCAUCAGAGGGGGAUAACACUUGGAAACAGGUGCUAAUACCGCAUAACAGUUUAUGCCGCAUGGCAUAAGAGUGAAAGGCGCUUUCGGGUGUCGUUGAUGGAUGGACCCGCGGUGCAUUAGCUAGUUGGUGAGGUAACGGCUCACCAAGGCCACGAUGCAUAGCCGACCUGAGAGGGUGAUCGGCCACACUGGGACUGAGACACGGCCCAGACUCCUACGGGAGGCAGCAGUAGGGAAUCUUCGGCAAUGGACGAAAGUCUGACCGAGCAACGCCGCGUGAGUGAAGAAGGUUUUCGGAUCGUAAAACUCUGUUGUUAGAGAAGAACAAGGACGUUAGUAACUGAACGUCCCCUGACGGUAUCUAACCAGAAAGCCACGGCUAACUACGUGCCAGCAGCCGCGGUAAUACGUAGGUGGCAAGCGUUGUCCGGAUUUAUUGGGCGUAAAGCGAGCGCAGGCGGUUUCUUAAGUCUGAUGUGAAAGCCCCCGGCUCAACCGGGGAGGGUCAUUGGAAACUGGGAGACUUGAGUGCAGAAGAGGAGAGUGGAAUUCCAUGUGUAGCGGUGAAAUGCGUAGAUAUAUGGAGGAACACCAGUGGCGAAGGCGGCUCUCUGGUCUGUAACUGACGCU